UAGGGAAUCUUGCGCAAUGGGGGCAACCCUGACGCAGCGAUGCCACGUGAGUGAGGAAGGCCUUAGGGUUGUAAAGCUCUGUCCUUGGGGAAAAAGGCUCUACUGUUAAUAGUAGUAGAGAUUGAUGGUACUCAAGAAGAAAGCACCGGCUAACUUCGUGCCAGCAGCCGCGGUAAUACGAAGGGUGCAAGCGUUGUUCGGAUUUAUUGGGCGUAAAGCGCGCGCAGGCGGAUCCUUAAGUCAGAUGUGAAAUCUCAGGGCCUAACCCUGAAACUGCGUCUGAAACUGGGGAUCUAGAAUUUUGGAGAGGCAAGGGGAAUUUCACAUGUAGGGGUAAAAUCCGUAGAGAUGUGAAGGAACACCGGAAGCGAAGGCGCCUUGCUGGACGAAUAUUGACGCU
Molecule: ribosomal RNA, 400 nt
Filed under: uncultured bacterium
Lineage: Bacteria
Description: bacterial SSU rRNA
Rfam family: Bacterial small subunit ribosomal RNA
Source: RNAcentral